This 368-nucleotide unclassified non-coding RNA is filed under the name Hevea brasiliensis (rubber tree). The record is from RNAcentral. Lineage: Eukaryota; Viridiplantae; Streptophyta; Magnoliopsida; Malpighiales; Euphorbiaceae.
GGAUGCACUGCUUUCGUCCGAAAAUGCACUAGAGGCUGACCCACCAGUUGCAUUCACUGUAAUUCCAGGCUUUAGGAUUGGUAAAACUAUUAUACAGUGCCAGGUCUACCUCUCUCAAAUGCAAAGCAGGAUAAAUCGGUGAUCUUUCAAUUCAUGGAUAACAGAGGACGAAGAAUAAUGAAUCAAACCGGAGGCCAUAGUCAUGAUUCUUCACGAGUAAGAGUCAGUUGGGGCUAGUGAGUAGCCUGAUAGCUUUGUGUUCCUUGUGGGGGCUCAUUGAUGCUUAGUUUCCAUCCGACGAUUAGGAGAUCAUCUCACAGCAUCAAAGCGGGAACAGGAGGCCAUGGUCAUGAUUUUUCAUCUUUUGU